UUUAUUUAAUACAUUUUUUCA
Molecule: non-coding RNA, 21 nt
Filed under: Caenorhabditis elegans
Lineage: Eukaryota; Metazoa; Nematoda; Chromadorea; Rhabditida; Rhabditidae
Source: RNAcentral